AUUUUAUAUACAGUAUACCUAAUACUCGCUCAGCUGUUUAUUAACAGAUGAUUCAACAUGAAAUCAUGUUUCCCACAAAAAAUUAAAUCCCUUGUUUUUGUAAUUUAAAUUUUCUUUUUUUAUAAAUGAACUGCCUUACCCACCUGCGUUUAAAUUAAUAUUUCCGUUAAACUGUUGAAACUUAAAAGUGCUCUCUACCAAUCUCUCUCUAGGCAACACUUUGUUUUUGCCAAUUGCAAAAGCAAAUUCACUAAAUUGAGCGGCACAUUCUGUUUUUAUUUAUUACUUUGCCUUUGCUUCUAUCUCUGCAUUUCUAUAUUGCUCUCAAUUUGUUUGCGCUAGUGUUUAGUUUAUUCGCAGACAAGGCGAAUUUAAAUAAAUCCGCCUGUUCAGAGAAUUCUGGCGGUGGCGAAAAAAGCUGCUGAUCAACGAAUAGCAAUAAGCUCAAAGUUGCCACUCUCGGAUAAAUAAUUAAAUAAUUGUGUUAAUAUAAAAAUAUGCAUGAAAUUAGCAGCAACUUAACAAAUACAAAUUCCUCAACAGCUUUAACGACGUAUUCUGUUAAUUUACAACGACAUAAGUCAUAGAGAAAAUUGAUAAGAGCACUUAUUAGUGGUCAAAUCUCGUGUUUUAUGCCACAUAAUGGCGCAUUAAUUUCACCUGCACUACAUCUGGCAACGCAAAAUUGUGGCCGGUCUGAACAUAAACACAACAACAAUUCGUUAACUAGUUUUUCUCUGAGGUUGGUACGCUUCUUUGUUUGCAAAGUUCGCCGCUCAGAUCCGACUUUUUCGUUUGUGUUUUUGUUGUGUGAAGUUGCAUAUGGUUUGUUUUGUUUUUCUGUAGUUGUGCUUUUGCACUUUUCUCCAUCAUCAUCUUCUGCCGUCAUCUGCUCAUAUAAAAUGUCUGCGCAGCGUACUCUUUGAAAUUACUUUGUCGUUGAAUUUGUACUCGUUAAUAGAUCGGUGCAGUUGAAUAGCUUUUUUAAUUAAUUGAAAGCCUCUGACUUGUGUGAUUAAUUUUGAAUUUGAAUUUAAAUUUAUUCAAAGAAAAUCCCAGCGUUGAUCGCAGUUAUUACAGUGCGUUUAGUGCCUUUCUUUUAGUAAAAGUAGAAACCCAAAGUUGUGAAAUACAAAGCGUUUAAAAGAUUCUUGUAUGAAAGAACAAGUAUAACUAAGUGUUGCAGGAUUUAUUGCAUGUACAUUUGUAAUUGCAAAUUUUACAAGUUAAAUUCUUCGUUCUAUAAGGAGCUUUUACCAAUUGGAUUAAACUUUUUUCGAUAUUUCCCCGUUUUUACCCGCAAAACAAACAACACGGCACUUUGCACUUUGCCUUUAAACGUCUAUUUCUGUUUAAAAAAUUAUUAGUUGCCUAAAGUGAAAAAAAAUAUAUAUCAAAAAAUUUCAAACUCAACAACAAAUUCAAACUCAACGAGCUAAGAAGAAUAAGCGUAUAUUUUUAAAUUAAAAUCGAUUUCAAAUCUUCUCAAAUCCA
Long non-coding RNA from Anastrepha ludens (Mexican fruit fly), 1494 nucleotides. RefSeq lists it as uncharacterized. NCBI's taxonomy places the organism in Eukaryota, Metazoa, Arthropoda, Insecta, Diptera, Tephritidae. The record is from RefSeq and is a predicted model, not a curated record. The transcript is spliced from 2 exons.